Onychomys torridus (southern grasshopper mouse) is the source of this 1309-nucleotide long non-coding RNA. RefSeq lists it as uncharacterized. The transcript has 4 exons. NCBI's taxonomy places the organism in Eukaryota, Metazoa, Chordata, Mammalia, Rodentia, Cricetidae. The record is from RefSeq and is a predicted model, not a curated record.
UCCCUGGUGGCCCUGUUCUACAGCCUGGCUCUGAUUUUGCCACUCCAGGUGCCUUAUAGAAACCAAAGCACACAAUAGCUGUCCUUCUGUGUCUGGCUUAUUUUACCUAGAUUCAAAUUCCAUGUUGUAGUAUAUAUCAAAAUUUCAUUCCUUUUUAUGGCCAGAGAGUAUUUCAUUUUAUGUAGAUGCCACAUUCUGGUGACAGCUGCAUGCCCCGUGCCCGGUGCAAUGCCUGAAGUCAGAGCCCCAAGAACGUGUUUGCUGAAUGAACGAAGUAAUGAUAGGAGUGAGCCUUCCUGGUCUUGCUCUGUAAGAACAUUUGCCUUUGAGAUCCUGGAGGAACACUCAUAGAGAAAGAGGUGAGUAGGGAUGAGGGUGGUAAGCCGUGAGUGGGAGAGUGGUUCGAAGAUGGACAAAGGUAUGUAGCAGGGGUUCCUUCCUGCCCUGGGCAUAGCAGCUCUGUCUUCCUAUUCUCAAUGCAGAGGGAUCUGGGGGAAAUCUUCUGUAGGAGCAUAGUUUAAGGGUCCAGAGUCUCCUGACCAGACUUCUUAUCACCUUUUAGGUUCCUCAGAAUAUGUGUGGGGUACUGUGCAAUGAUGGAGGUGUCCCAGGUCUAAAAGGAUGGAGAUGUCCCUUUGGGCACCUGUUCUCAACCUGUUCAGAACAUUGGAAAAACCCGGUUCGCUGUCAUCAACCUCCUGGAACCCUAGUCCCAGAACUGCUGUCUGAAGUGGGGAGGCCCUGGCUUCUCCCAGGCAGAGCUGAGAUCAAGGUGGGCGAAGGACAAGCUCCCUGUUUUGCUCCAUAUGAGCUGUAGAACAAAGAUUCAAUCCCUCCGAAUUCCAAGAAACAGCAUGCAUAGAGGCUGGAAGCUUCACCCUGUUUCUCGGAGGCCUCAGGACUUCUGGAGAAAAGCCAGGCAGAUGCACGGGUCCCAGAAUGCUGCCCACAGCUGCCCAUUCAGGUGGCCAGAUGUGUUGCUUCAACUCCGGGGACACUUUCUUGGAACGGUGACAGCCAUCCCUUCAGCUCCAGGGUUUCUUCACCCUCCCCACGGCAUGCAGGGACAACCUGACACCUAUGUGCUGCCAGUGAAGAAGAAGUACAGUCCCCAGGCAGCUCCUCUUAGAAGCUUCUGGUUCCUCAGUCCUGCUGGAGCCGAGGUGGAAUGAGGCCAGGCUCAGGCCAGAGACUGCAUCUGGGAUUUCCAGCUCCUUCCAUCUGGACCUUCUGUGGAUCCCCUCUGUGAAGUUCUGAGAGCUGCUGGUUGUGAAUGAGUGAGUGGAUGAACCUCAAGGCAGUUACUAGA